Molecule: long non-coding RNA, 716 nt
Filed under: Rattus norvegicus (Norway rat)
Lineage: Eukaryota; Metazoa; Chordata; Mammalia; Rodentia; Muridae
Description: long non-coding RNA NONRATT023652
Source: RNAcentral
AAGGAGCAGAGAGGAGGGGGCACACAGAGGGAGAAGGACUCAGGUCAGAGAGACACAAAGGAGUGGGUCAGAAGGACGCAGAGCAGCGGGUCAGAGGGACGCCGAGGACAGAAGGGUUGGGGCGCGCAUCGGGAGGUGGCUGAAAGGGGAUUAGUAAGACACACAGAGCCAACAAUCCAACUCAGAUGCGUCAGAGGGAUAGAGGGACCAAGGGCAGGAGAGAAGAAUGCGCGUUGGAAAUGUCAAGGUCCCAUUUCCUUGUCCUUGACAGUCCCUAAAGAGGUCUGGGAGGGGGUCUGCUUGUUGCAUAUCUCCUUGUCCCGUGAGUGGGCUGACACCUAGCGCUGUGUUUUACCCCCGGGAGACUCAGAAGUCAGGGUGCCACGCUUUGCUGAGCCUCCUGGGAGGGCUCCAGGACGCGUGAAGGAAGACCCACCCUUGAUGUGUGUGAGGGAGUCUCCAGAAUCCAACACCUCUGACCCCUGACCUCUGUCCUCCCCGACCCAGCAGGCACCAUGUGGGGAUGUCCGCUAGGGCUGCUAUUGCUGCUGCUGGCUGGCCAGGCUGCCCUGGAGGCCCGGCGGAGUCGUUGGCGCAGGGAGCUGGCGCCAGGGCUGCACCUGCGGGGCAUCCGGGACGCCGGUGGCAGAUACUGCCAAGAGCAGGACAUGUGCUGCCGCGGCCGUGCUGACGAGUGUGCUUUGCCCUACCUGGGA